AACGAACGCUGGCGGCAUGCCUAACACAUGCAAGUCGAACGAGACCUUCGGGUCUAGUGGCCCACGGGUGCGUAACGCGUUGGAACCUUCCCUUAGGUUCGGAAUAACUCCCCGAAAGGGGUGCUUAUACCGGAUAAUGUCUUCGGACCAAAGAUUUAUCGCCCUUGGAUGGGCCCGCGUUGGAUUAGCUAGUUGGUAUGGUAAAAGACUACCCCGGCGCCGAUACAUAGCUGGUCUGAGAGGAUGAUCAGCCACACGGGGACUGAGACACGGCACAGACUCAUAGGGGAGGGAGGAGUGGGGAAUAUUGGAAAAUGGGCGAAAGCCUGAGCCAGCAAUGCCGCGUGAGUGAUGAAGGCCUGAGGGUUGUAAAGCUCUUUUACCCGGGAUGAUAAUGACAGUACCGGGAGAAUAAGCUCCGGCUAACUCCGUG
RNAcentral lists this ribosomal RNA (433 nucleotides) under uncultured bacterium. RNAcentral's name for it is "partial 16S ribosomal RNA". It matches the Rfam family "Bacterial small subunit ribosomal RNA", at positions 29 to 507 of the family's 1533-position model. The record is from RNAcentral.